Molecule: ribosomal RNA, 212 nt
Filed under: Vibrio cholerae
Lineage: Bacteria; Pseudomonadati; Pseudomonadota; Gammaproteobacteria; Vibrionales; Vibrionaceae
Description: partial 16S ribosomal RNA
Rfam family: Bacterial small subunit ribosomal RNA
Source: RNAcentral
UUUAAUUGAAGAGUUUGAUCAUGGCUCAGAUUGAACGCUGGCGGCAGGCCUAACACAUGCAAGUCGAGCGGCAGCACAGAGGAACUUGUUCCUUGGGUGGCGAGCGGCGGACGGGUGAGUAAUGCCUGGGAAAUUGCCCGGUANAGGGGGGAUAACCAUUGGAAACGAUGGCUAAUACCGCAUAACCUCGCAAGAGCAAAGCAGGGGACCUU